GACAUUUUCAUUUCCAAAAUUCGGAGGGAGGAGCAAAAUCUACUAGCAGUUCCUAUAGUGUGGGUAUGUGAAAAAGUCAUAUUUGUUUAGCAUCAAUCUGAGUGGGUGAGAACCGUUGUGGAAAGGCUCUCCUGCCCUUCUGCUCUGAGCUCUGUGUUUCCUUCUGCUGCCCUUUACUUGCCCUCUCAGGGCCCUUCCCCCUGUCCCCCACAUUAGUUCUUCUUCCUUCAUAGAAGCUCAGAAGGAGGAAGAACAGUACCAGGGCCCUGCCCCUCCUACCAUCUCCCUGGGGGCCAGGUGGAGGGUUGACAGCUCCCUGUGUCGUCUCAUUUUGAGUAACAAGAGAGGACCAGCAUGGCCCCAGAAAUCCUAUUGCUGCUGCUGCUGUCACUAGGAAACUCAGGCAAGCCAGGGAGGACUUGGGCUGAGCUCCAGUACCAGGAGUUGAGACCGAGGUCUCCAGACUACAGGAGACCAGAACAGGCUGAGGAAGAGUACAGACGACUGGAAGGGGAGACGUUCAGUGUGAACUGCUCCUACGAGUCCCAGGAGCAUGAACAUAGAUGGAUGUCUUGGUGUAAAAAGCAAGAGAAUGGAGACGAGUGUGGCAUACCACGCUUAGAAACAAGCUCCAACUUUUCCGUGGCAGGCAAUGAAUAUUUGUCCGCUUAUGAUAAUAAUAGUGGCAUUAUCACCAUCACUAUCACAAAGUUCAGUCUCAGAGUAAAGGAUUCAGGUGACUAUGAGUGUGUGAUGCCUGAAGAACCUGAUAAGAGGAAAGAAGUCUUCAGGAGAUUCCACCUAGUGGUGUCCCCAGUUCAAACACAGAGCUCCACAAAAGGGAUACAAACUACCGCAGGGGUCACUUCCAACAAUCAGGCCGCCAACAACAGUUCCUCAGAGAAGAAAUUCAUCAUUUUGGGUGUGGUCCUUUCUUGUCUGCUCCUAUUGGUGCUUCUUGUUGUAGGCAUCAUUUGUACCAGGAGGAUCUACCAGAAAGCCGGGAAAGGUGAUGACUCUGAGACCCAGGGAGAGAAGUCAAAGGGCUCUGCAAUGAAGAUGGAGAGUGAUGAGGAUGCUGAAGACAUCCAUUAUGCCAUAGUGUCCAACAGAAGCCCCAGAGAGCUGAUCAAUACCAAAACUCAUACUCCUAUUGAGUCUGUGGAAUACGCUACCAUAACAAGGAAUUGAUGUCAGCUGCCCAAAUCAAAUGCUCCUCAGAAUCCAAUGUGGAGGGACUAGGAGAGUUCACUAUCAGCAAUGUUGGUGAAUCAUGUCUCCUUCAGCAAAGAAGUGGUAGAACAAAAAUGUAUGGAAAUGAGAAAUAUGUUAUUAGACAAGGACCAUAUAUAGAUUUGUUUUGCUUAGCUAUAUUUCUUUGUUGGGAGGGAGGGUUCUAUAGGAUUUUUUUGAGGGGGGUAGUAAGAAAUGGUAGCAUUGUAAAAAAGCCCAGCAUGAAUAAAACACCUUUUUUAUGUAUUAAACA
This is a long non-coding RNA of Vombatus ursinus (common wombat), 1486 nucleotides long. Lineage: Eukaryota; Metazoa; Chordata; Mammalia; Diprotodontia; Vombatidae. The record is from Ensembl.